UUGAAACACCGGUUCUUGUCCGAUCACCGAAGUUAAGCAACAUUGAAUCUGCUCAGUAGCUAGAUGGGUGACCGUUUGAAAAUAGCAAGCGCUGUAAG
This is a non-coding RNA of Acanthosepion pharaonis, 98 nucleotides long. NCBI's taxonomy places the organism in Eukaryota, Metazoa, Mollusca, Cephalopoda, Sepiida, Sepiidae. The record is from the annotation of a GenBank genome assembly.